CCCUGUACAGGGGGAUACAGCUGGAAACGGCUGCUAAUACCGCAUAAGCGCACGAGGAGACAUCUCCUUGUGUGAAAAACUCCGGUGGUACAGGAUGGGCCCGCGUCUGAUUAGCUGGUUGGCAGGGUAACGGCCUACCAAGGCAACGAUCAGUAGCCGGUCUGAGAGGAUGAACGGCCACAUUGGAACUGAGACACGGUCCAAACUCCUACGGGAGGCAGCAGUGGGGAAUAUUGCACAAUGGGGGAAACCCUGAUGCAGCAACGCCGCGUGAGUGAAGAAGUAUUUCGGUAUGUAAAGCUCUAUCAGCAGGGAAGAUAAUGACGGUACCUGACUAAGAAGCUCCGGCUAAAUACGUGCCAGCAGCCGCGGUAAUACGUAUGGAGCAAGCGUUAUCCGGAUUUACUGGGUGUAAAGGGUGCGUAGGUGGCAGUGCAAGUCAGAUGUGAAAGGCCGGGGCUCAACCCCGGAGCUGCAUUUGAAACUGCAUAGCUAGAGUACAGGAGAGGCAGGCGGAAUUCCUAGUGUAGCGGUGAAAUGCGUAGAUAUUAGGAGGAACACCAGUGGCGAAGGCGGCUCUGCUGGACUGUUACUGACACUGAGGCACGAAAGCGUGGGGAGCAAACAGGAUUAGA
RNAcentral lists this ribosomal RNA (635 nucleotides) under uncultured bacterium. Its description in RNAcentral is "bacterial SSU rRNA". It matches the Rfam family "Bacterial small subunit ribosomal RNA", at positions 129 to 782 of the family's 1533-position model. The record is from RNAcentral.